GCGCUGCAACUGAAUCAAUCACAAUUAGCCUAACAGGAAAAUGGGUUUUAGAAUUUCCAAUAAACGAUUCUAUCUUGGGCAUCAUAUCGAGCAGUUGAUCUGCAGAGUGUACACUUUGUACAUAUAUAUUGUCACAUGGAUUACAAUUACCAUUCUUACUACUAUUAACGGCAUCACUAAUAAAAACUUGAGGGUAUAAAGAUUGGAAACAAUGGGACAGUUGGUUGAGGCGGCGAAACGGAAAAGAAAAUUCGGUGUGGAAGUAGAGAGCGGAAGCAGAGAGGCCGCCUAGGGAGACUGGGAGUUGAGCGCAGAGGGAGAGUUGCAGGCAGAGUUGCGUCUUGCCGGAGCCGCUUUCGGCAACAAUUUCUGUGAUUGAAUUGCAUGGGACACCGCCGCUGAGACAGCGGUCCAGGAUGGGGCAACCGAGGGUGCAUUUUUGGGAGGGGAA
RNAcentral lists this unclassified non-coding RNA (451 nucleotides) under Hevea brasiliensis (rubber tree). The record is from RNAcentral. Lineage: Eukaryota; Viridiplantae; Streptophyta; Magnoliopsida; Malpighiales; Euphorbiaceae.